This 787-nucleotide ribosomal RNA is filed under the name Escherichia sp. E4702. RNAcentral's name for it is "partial 23S ribosomal RNA". It matches the Rfam family "Bacterial large subunit ribosomal RNA", at positions 881 to 1667 of the family's 2925-position model. Lineage: Bacteria; Pseudomonadati; Pseudomonadota; Gammaproteobacteria; Enterobacterales; Enterobacteriaceae. The record is from RNAcentral.
CUCGUGAAUUCAUGCUCCGGGGGUAGAGCACUGUUUCGGCAAGGGGGUCAUCCCGACUUACCAACCCGAUGCAAACUGCGAAUACCGGAGAAUGUUAUCACGGGAGACACACGGCGGGUGCUAACGUCCGUCGUGAAGAGGGAAACAACCCAGACCGCCAGCUAAGGUCCCAAAGUCAUGGUUAAGUGGGAAACGAUGUGGGAAGGCCCAGACAGCCAGGAUGUUGGCUUAGAAGCAGCCAUCAUUUAAAGAAAGCGUAAUAGCUCACUGGUCGAGUCGGCCUGCGCGGAAGAUGUAACGGGGCUAAACCAUGCACCGAAGCUGCGGCAGCGACACUGUGUGUUGUUGGGUAGGGGAGCGUUCUGUAAGCCUGUGAAGGUGUACUGUGAGGUAUGCUGGAGGUAUCAGAAGUGCGAAUGCUGACAUAAGUAACGAUAAAGCGGGUGAAAAGCCCGCUCGCCGGAAGACCAAGGGUUCCUGUCCAACGUUAAUCGGGGCAGGGUGAGUCGACCCCUAAGGCGAGGCCGAAAGGCGUAGUCGAUGGGAAACAGGUUAAUAUUCCUGUACUUGGUGUUACUGCGAAGGGGGGACGGAGAAGGCUAUGUUGGCCGGGCGACGGUUGUCCCGGUUUAAGCGUGUAGGCUGGUUUUCCAGGCAAAUCCGGAAAAUCAAGGCUGAGGCGUGAUGACGAGGCACUACGGUGCUGAAGCAACAAAUGCCCUGCUUCCAGGAAAAGCCUCUAAGCAUCAGGUAACAUCAAAUCGUACCCCAAACCGACACAGGUGGU